Molecule: ribosomal RNA, 449 nt
Filed under: uncultured bacterium
Lineage: Bacteria
Description: bacterial SSU rRNA
Rfam family: Bacterial small subunit ribosomal RNA
Source: RNAcentral
AUGAACGCUGGCGGGGUGCCUUAAGCAUGCAAGUCGAACGGAGAGAUGAGUCCCGCAAUGUGCGGGAUUUGUCAAUCAGUGGCGGACGGGUGAGUAUAAGUAGGGAACGCACCCAGAACUAUCGCAUAGCUCGUCGAAAGACGGGGUAAUACGGUAUGUGAUCGCAAGAUUAAAGUCGCAAGACGGUUCUGGAACGGCCCUAUUCCCAUCAGCUUGUUGGUAGGGUAAUGGCCUACCAAGGCUACGACGGGUAGGGGGUGUGAGGGCACGACCCCCCACAAUGGCACUGAGCCACGGGCCAUACAUCUACGGAUGGCAGCAACUGGGAAUAUUCGGCAAUGGGCGAAAGCCUGACCGAGCACCACCGCGUGAGGGAUGAAGUAUUUCGGUAUGUAAACCUCUUUUAUAUAGUCGUCGCGGCUAUAAGAAUAAGCACCUCCCCCCUACGU